UUAUUGCAUAAGGCAAUGCAUGGGUCUAUAAAUAUAACCAGCUGAUAAAUAAGGAUCUUUGCGUGCUCGAGACAUCAUCAGUUGCUCAAGGAGACAGAAACAGACUCGAGCUUCCUUUGUUUUUGUUCCAAAAUGCCUCUCACGGAGAGUCAAGAUAGAAGAUCUCCAUCAGGAUACCCAACUGAAACUCCCACCACCGGGAAGAAAUGCUGCCCUCGCAAAAAAAAGCAGAGACAAAGCUUCAUCAAGAGACUCCUCUGUUGCUGCUGGCGUUUUGGAACUUGCUGCUGGCCUUGUGGAACUUGCUGCUAAACUGUGAUCCAAAUAGCAAAACUUGUGUACCGGAUGUGUGGCCUUUGAUUUUCCUGCUUUUCUGUGAUCAUAUAUUGUAAUAAAAGUGACUGGUUUUAUUAA
Long non-coding RNA from Populus trichocarpa (black cottonwood), 414 nucleotides. RefSeq lists it as uncharacterized. NCBI's taxonomy places the organism in Eukaryota, Viridiplantae, Streptophyta, Magnoliopsida, Malpighiales, Salicaceae. The transcript is spliced from 3 exons. The record is from RefSeq and is a predicted model, not a curated record.